This 263-nucleotide ribosomal RNA is filed under the name uncultured bacterium. Its description in RNAcentral is "partial 16S ribosomal RNA". It matches the Rfam family "Bacterial small subunit ribosomal RNA", at positions 793 to 1055 of the family's 1533-position model. The record is from RNAcentral.
GUCCACGCCGUAAACGAUGGAUGCUAGAUGUCGCGGGUAUUGACCCCUGCGGCGUCGAAGUUAACGCAUUAAGCAUCCCGCCUGGGGAGUACGGCCGCAAGGUUAAAACUCAAGGAAUUGACGGGGCCCGCACAAGCGGUGGAGCAUGUGGUUCAAUUCGACGCAACGCGCAGAACCUUACCUGGGUUAAAUCCACCGGAAUCCCGCAGAGAUGUAGGAGUGCUCGCAAGAGAGCCGGUGAGAAGGUGCUGCAUGGCUGUCGU